UACGAAGGGGGCUAGCGUUGUUCGGAAUCACUGGGCGUAAAGCGCACGUAGGCGGACUUUUAAGUCAGGGGUGAAAUCCCGGGGCUCAACCCCGGAACUGCCUUUGAUACUGGAAGUCUUGAGUCCGAGAGAGGUGAGUGGAACUCCGAGUGUAGAGGUGAAAUUCGUAGAUAUUCGGAAGAACACCAGUGGCGAAGGCGGCUCACUGGCUCGGUACUGACGCUGAGGUGCGAAAGCGUGGGGGAGCAAAACAGGAUUAGAUACCCGGCGUAAGUC
Molecule: ribosomal RNA, 276 nt
Filed under: uncultured bacterium
Lineage: Bacteria
Description: partial 16S ribosomal RNA
Rfam family: Bacterial small subunit ribosomal RNA
Source: RNAcentral